GACGAACGCUGGCGGCGUGCUUAACACAUGCAAGUCGAACGAUGAAGCCUAGCUUGCUAGGUGGAUUAGUGGCGAACGGGUGAGUAAUACGUGAGUGACCUACCUUUGACUCUGGGAUAAGCCUGGGAAACUGGGUCUAAUACCGGAUACGACCAAUCUCCGCAUGGGGUGUUGGUGGAAAGCGUUAUGGAGUGGUUUUAGAUGGGCUCACGGCCUAUCAGCUUGUUGGUGAGGUAAUGGCUUACCAAGGCGACGACGGGUAGCCGGCCUGAGAGGGUGACCGGCCACACUGGGACUGAGACACGGCCCAGACUCCUACGGGAGGCAGCAGUGGGGAAUAUUGCACAAUGGGCGCAAGCCUGAUGCAGCGACGCCGCGUGAGGGAUGACGGCCUUCGGGUUGUAAACCUCUGUUAGCAUCGAAGAAGCGAAAGUGACGGUAGGUGCAGAGAAGGCGCCGGCUAACUACGUG
This 471-nucleotide ribosomal RNA is filed under the name uncultured bacterium. RNAcentral's name for it is "partial 16S ribosomal RNA". It matches the Rfam family "Bacterial small subunit ribosomal RNA", at positions 28 to 507 of the family's 1533-position model. The record is from RNAcentral.